GAUGAACGCUAGCGGCAGCCUUAACACAUGCAAGUCGAGGGGUAACGUGAGUGCUUGCACUUGACGACGACCGGCGCACGGGUGCGGAACGCGUAUGGAACCUACCUUUAUCAGGGAGAUAGCCCAUGGAAACGUGGAUUAAUAUCCCAUAGUAUUAUUUUAUCGCCUGAUAGAAUAAUUAAAGAAUUUCGGAUAGAGAUGGCCAUGCGUAUCAUUAGCUAGUAGGCGAGGUAACGGCUCACCUAGGCGACGAUGAUUAGGGGUCCUGAGAGGGAGAUCCCCCACACUGGUACUGAGACACGGACCAGACUCCUACGGGAGGCAGCAGUGAGGAAUAUUGGGCAAUGGAGGCAACUCUGACCCAGCCAUGCCGCGUGCAGGAAGACGGCCCUACGGGUUGUAAACUGCUUUUAUACAGGAAGAACACCACCCACGUGUGGGUGACUGACGGUACUGUAAGAAUAAGGACCGGCUAACUCCGUG
This 483-nucleotide ribosomal RNA is filed under the name uncultured bacterium. Its description in RNAcentral is "bacterial SSU rRNA". It matches the Rfam family "Bacterial small subunit ribosomal RNA", at positions 28 to 507 of the family's 1533-position model. The record is from RNAcentral.